RNAcentral lists this ribosomal RNA (446 nucleotides) under uncultured bacterium. RNAcentral's name for it is "bacterial SSU rRNA". It matches the Rfam family "Bacterial small subunit ribosomal RNA", at positions 29 to 520 of the family's 1533-position model. The record is from RNAcentral.
AACGAACGCUGGCGGCAUGCCUAACACAUGCAAGUCGAACGCGUGUAGCAAUACACGAGUGGCGGACGGGUGAGUAACGCGUGGGAACCUGCCCAAUGGUAGGGAAUAACUGCGGGAAACUGCAGCUAAUACCCUAUGCUCCCUACGGGGGAAGGAUUUAUCGCCAUUGGAGGGGCCCGCGUCGGAUUAGCUAGUUGGCGGGGUAACGGCCCACCAAGGCUACGAUCCGUAGCUGGCUGAGAGGAUGAUCAGCCACACUGGGACUGAGAUACGGCCCAGACUCCUACGGGAGGCAGCAGUGGGGAAUAUUGGACAAUGGGGAAACCCUGAUCCAGCAAUGCCGCGUGAGUGAAGAAGGCCUUAGGGUUGUAAAGCUCUUUCGGCGGGGACGAUGGUGACGGUACCCGCAGAAGAAGCCCCGGCUAACUUCGUGCCAGCAGCCGCCG